AAUAAUUAAUCUUUCACAGACUAAUAAAAUCAUCUGGGGCCGGUAGUUCAAAGGCUUACACAGGCUUCGAACAACCGGGCCCAGAUGAUUUUAUUAGUAUGUGAAAGAGUAAUAGUA
This is a non-coding RNA of Paramuricea clavata, 117 nucleotides long. Lineage: Eukaryota; Metazoa; Cnidaria; Anthozoa; Malacalcyonacea; Plexauridae. The record is from the annotation of a GenBank genome assembly.